UCAACGACAUGCUCUGCUUCUCUAGCUUGUAGGGGUAUGAGGAGAGAGCUCUAUUGUUUGCAGCGGCUGCAUCAUUUCGACAAGUGAUAUGAUUGAUCUUUGCUAUGUGGACCAAUGGCAUGAUCUGUACCUAAGGUUGGAGAUGCUGAAUUCGAACACGUGAGAAAUCACUGAUGCGCAUGGCUGGCAGCUUUCGCACGAAGAAGUAAAAUUGGCAGGACCAAUUAGGAUGCAUACCUGAAGGAGUGAAUCUACUGGUUCAGCUGAAAAUUGAUCUCUAUUUGGUUUCUGAUUUUGCGUUUGGUUUUGCCGUCCGCUCGUCCUUGGUAUGCUCAUCCAUCUUGGCUGCUCUGCUUGCCUGCUUCUCCUCUCUAACUCAGGUUCUGCGAUCUCUUGUGUUGCUGCAUCGCGAUCUUCUGCUUUGUUGCAUCUCUGUUAUGUCAUCGAGAAUGUGUCCGCUUAUUUCAGUCGUUAUACAUGUUUUGGAGGUCGUGGUGGCGGCGUAGUGCGGUGUGCUUUAUGACGCUUUCGAAUCUGUGUGAGGUUGCAGAGGACGUGUCUGUACUUGCUGGGGUAGAAUUCAAAUUGUGAGGGAUGGUUGUGCUCAGAUUUGGUCGCUGCUGGUCGGUUCUUGACUUCAGCGCAUGAAAACCUGCAACUGCUAUCAAGCGAACCACAGGAGGGAGCAGCAGGCAUAGAAGAAAUCGCAAGCCAAUUUUGCUCAGCUGUAGCAUCUUCUACUGACAAUAAGUCUGCACAGCAGCCCGGUGAGGCUGAUGUUCUUUCUCAGUAUAAGCCAACAAUGAAGAAACUGACCAAGCUAUCUUUCAUGAUCAGUUACACACCAAGCCUAUAUUUUUGCUGCUUCUACAUGUUGCUAUGAUGGCCAUUCAGCCCAUUUUCUUGAACCUGCACUACAACGAGAGAUCUGGGCAGCUUCUUUGUGGCUUCCAAACUUGAAA
Long non-coding RNA from Triticum aestivum (bread wheat), 962 nucleotides. RefSeq lists it as uncharacterized. The transcript has 8 exons. NCBI's taxonomy places the organism in Eukaryota, Viridiplantae, Streptophyta, Magnoliopsida, Poales, Poaceae. The record is from RefSeq and is a predicted model, not a curated record.